GCCUGGGUGGCUCAGUCAGUUGAGCAUCUGACUUCGGCUCAGGUCACGAUCUCACUGUCCGUGAGUUCAAGCCCCAUGUCGGGCU
Molecule: transfer RNA, 85 nt
Filed under: Felis catus (domestic cat)
Lineage: Eukaryota; Metazoa; Chordata; Mammalia; Carnivora; Felidae
Also listed under: 1 other name
Rfam family: tRNA
About the family: Transfer RNA (tRNA) molecules are approximately 80 nucleotides in length. Their secondary structure includes four short double-helical elements and three loops (D, anti-codon, and T loops).
Source: Rfam by way of RNAcentral